CACAACACAAUCAAGACGCCUAUCUCAGUGUUUCUUUCCCAUUUUUUUGCACAUACAGAGUUCUACAAUUGUGCCAAAACAUGAUUACCAUUCGUACCAUCUGAAUGUAAAGUUUGUUAAAUGUUAAAAAGCUGCUUGUUUGUAUAGUUUAUACAAUAAACACCCAACAUUCAACUACUUCCACGUUGGAUACCACAUUGGCAUUUUUGAUAGAAAGCUAACAUCAUUAAGGUCACAAAAGAACAGAUACUGAGCAAAAAAGCCAUCAUGGGAUGCCAAAAAUGACUCCCUAACUACAGCUAUAUGAUAAUACAUGACUACGAUCACAGGCUAAUGCAUUCAGUAGCGGUUGAGUUUUGGUAUAGUAACAAAUAUGACAUCUGAGAAUAAACUCUUUAUCAGCAUCUUUCCAGCUCAAAUGGCAUAAAUCCACCAACCACAGAAAGUUGGAUGCAGAAUCUUUGUCCUCUAGCAUUGAAGUCUCUAUCAGAGAAAGCAUCCCACAACCCAAUAGCUGCAAAUGCAAGUUAGGCUACAAUCAAAAAAGUUCCUAUCCCAUUCCCCCUAGCGCAUAAGUGUCAUAAAAAUACAAUCACCGAUGAUAAGCAUCUUCACAUUUCCAUUUCAACUUUCAACCAAUACUAUUGCUCCAUGUAUCCUGUGCGUUCAUCAGUCACUAGAUCAUUUACCUCACUCCCACUAGUCAAAGCAUCAUCGACUUCCAAUGGUAAAACCUUCUCCCUCACUGAAUUUCCAGUAAGAUGACAUUUAACAAACUUAACUUGUUUAUCCCCUUCAUCCUUUCUCCCUUCUUUGCGUUUCCUCGUCCCAUUAGUUUCCAUUGCUUUCAGAACUCCAGGACCACCGAAGAACAUAGUGUCCUCAAAAUCAACCAUCUCUAGAUCACCAUCAACUUUAUCUGCCCCUUUACCCUCAUUAACACCAUAAGAGAAAUUAUUUUCCACCAAAUUCUUGCCAUCUGACUUAAUAACACAGAGCCCAUCCGACUUAAUUUUUGCACAGAUAUUGGAGAUGUCACCAUCAAAUACUCUUACACCUUGAUCCUCAAGAAUCAUUAGCCACUCUGGAAAUUAGAACACUUCAAGAAUCAGAUAAAUAUUAAUUCCAAAUGCUAGAAAAUAUCCGAAAAUGGAAAAGAGUUGCAAAAUGGGUGGCUCCUCUCUAAGUAGCUCCUACCCAAAUUUGUUCACUUAGCAAUGACAGUGGGACAUGUCUCACUAUAGAAGAUGGUGCCACAGUGUACUCAGAAGGACAGCUGGUCAAGUAAUUUAAUCCUCCACUUUAACAAAGAUACGACAGAGCCUCUCCAUAUCAUAACAUGCUUUCUGAGAAUCAUAAUCAGAAAAGACAGUGCAAAAGAUGCUAAACCUCUUACAAAUGAGGUGAAAAAACAUAAGCGUAGAGAUAAUUGAGGAACUCACUGAUAAGAGCUAGAGGAUUGGAAACUUUUGGUGUACUUGUUUUGCUCUGUAUGCCAGGCAGACUCAUAACCCACUUGAUCAAUUGAGAUGGUAGAAAAGAUGCAGAGAAAGCUUGUACAUAGGAAAAGACUUUGGUCUGGUUACCAUUUUCCCAGAGAAAUCGGAUGGCACAAUCAGCAACAAACAACCAUGCUGUAGCAAGAUUCUUUAAGCGUCCAUCAGGAAGAUGACUCCCUUUAUGAGGACCAAGGAAGGAAUGCUCUGCUAUUAUUGCAGUAUCAUACAGGAUUUCUCGCAAAAAAACUUCUUCUUCAGAAUUCAAUAAGGAGGUGACAGAUAAGACUGGCUCUAGGAGCAUCCUGAGAAUGGUGUCUGCCAUGAAAAAAACAGUUGAUCAGAAGGAAGCCAUAGUUAACAUCUGGGCUCUAGUGUAAAACAAUCGCAGGUCCUUUACAGUAUAAUCAUACAGUUUUUAAGGUGUACUAUAGUUAUACUAGGAAAGUAGAGAUUUGAUGACAUAGUAUAAUCAAGCUAUUUCAAACUAACAAAUAAAAAAUUUUAAUUUUUCUGGUUGAUAAAAUGACAAAAAUCAAUUCCCACCAACGAAGUGAUAACUUCGAAAUGCAGUUAUCGUCUGAACUGCGCAGCGGCGUAAUUCUGUCUCCAGCUCUGCCCUUGAAAUCCCCAAUCGAAAUUUCAAGCACAACAUCAAUAAGAAAGUUUCACUCAUGACAAUCCCAGCUACGUACCCAAUCUCACAUCCGUCACUACCCAUUAUCCCUUUACGAAUUUCAUCACUAACAAGAGGAAAAAAAACUCUCAACUCUUCACCUAACUUACAAUUCUCCCCAAUUUUUUCAACUAGCCAAACGCGUAUCAAAUCCAUAAAACAAGAAUUCAAAGCCUCAAAUUCAUCGUUUUCGUUAAAAUUGGUGCCAGAACAAAUGCUAAUAUAGCUAAAAAUCACUUCAAAUAAACUCUCAAUCUCUUUCGUGAAAAGUUUUCCCUCAGAAACUAAACUAUGCAGUUCAUAGAUGACUGGAGCAAGAACUGCAAUCUUCUUAACCGCAUUGCACGAAGAAGAGCAGGAAACCAGCAGUUGGAACAAGUCCUUAGCUACUACGACUUGGUUUGAAGAGUUUUCAGCGGUAAAUUUCGUGGAGCGUAAAGUCAAAGCGGCGUAAAACCAGACGAUUUCGAGCGGUGGAUCGGGCAGAUUUUGAAGAAAGCGGGAGAAUAUGGAGGUGAAAUUCGAAAAAUCGGUUGCGCCAUUUCGGUAUUCGAUUAAAAAUCGGUCAACGGAUUCUUUAAGCAUGGAUUGGAAAGCGUCUAGGUUUGGAUUGUAUGCGGUUCGGUUCAUGUUGAUAGCCAAAAUCGAAGGAAAAUGGAGCGAUUUUGGGGUAAAAUUGAUGAGUUUUGUAGCUUUGCAGCGUUUGCAGAAGGUUAGCGAGCAGCAAAUGGGAGAGUAUAAAACCCUAGGUAUGCGGGAUGGUGCAAGGACUGAGGAAUUGGAAAAGGAGAGGGAAGGUCGGGG
This 2976-nucleotide unclassified non-coding RNA is filed under the name Hevea brasiliensis (rubber tree). Lineage: Eukaryota; Viridiplantae; Streptophyta; Magnoliopsida; Malpighiales; Euphorbiaceae. The record is from RNAcentral.